GCCCUCAUCGUCUAACGGUUAGGACACCAGGUUUUCAACCUGGAGACCGGGGUUCGAUUCCCCGUGAGGGUA
RNAcentral lists this transfer RNA (72 nucleotides) under Gemmatimonadota bacterium. RNAcentral describes it as "Gemmatimonadetes bacterium tRNA-Glu". It matches the Rfam family "tRNA". From Rfam's summary of the family: Transfer RNA (tRNA) molecules are approximately 80 nucleotides in length. The record is from RNAcentral. Lineage: Bacteria; Pseudomonadati; Gemmatimonadota.